Molecule: long non-coding RNA, 1064 nt
Filed under: Triticum aestivum (bread wheat)
Lineage: Eukaryota; Viridiplantae; Streptophyta; Magnoliopsida; Poales; Poaceae
Description: long non-coding RNA (TAES_LNC012678)
Source: RNAcentral
CCCUUUCUGUUUCUUAGUUCCUUAUAUGUACGUCUUGUUUUUAUGAAUGUGUUGAUAACUACAACUGUCUGAUUAUGCUCUUUUUCGUGUUGUUGAUUCUGCAGGUUCUGAGAUUUUUUUACAUGGAUCGGGAUAUUAAAAUGUGUGCCUUUGUAGUUCUUAGGUAACUACGAAGUCUUGCGUGAUCUAGAUUAUUUGAAGAUUUUCAAGUCGUUGGCACUGAGACUUCCCUAAAACACCAUAGCAAGAAUGAGUAAUGAAUCAUCCCUAGCAUGAGUAGUAGACUGUCCUUAGUUUACAAAGUAAGGGUGAACCUAUGUUUUGGUAUGCACUUUCUUUUCUGAAUGAUCCUUAGAUAUUCAGAACAUGUGCAGGGCAAGUGGGAAAAAAAGAAUAUCCAGUUCACAAAGUAACAGUGAAGACUCAGAAGUCUGUGUUUGUACUUCAUAACAUGGUGAUGACCUUUUCGCUUGUGUAUUAUUGUUCUUUCUUUGCAGGGUGAUGGUAGUGACAUGCAAAUAUCUGCAGUUUCCAUUUUUGCAGUUUGGUCCUUUUUAAUAGAUGGGAACACUAAAAAUAUAUAAUGAUAGUUCAUAUGGUUUUGAGCUGAUGUAAGAUGCAAAAAUGAAAAUUGUACUCAGAUAUAGGCUGCAUAAUCUACAAUGUUUUUUAAUAAGUUCAUUUGGAAGAAGAUUUUAUAUUCAGAUUAUUAAUUAGCCACACAUCUGUAUAUAAAUCUAAGCAUUGGUAAAUCACAUUUCUAUGGUGCUCCUUUGAAUUUUUAAAUUUUACUAAACUGAUUUUCUCUAUUGUAACUAACUCAUCUAAUAUUGUUGUAGAACAAAGAUAAAUUAACGAUUCAUGGCUCAGAUGGUGAUUGCAAGGUUAAGAAUGGAGCUUCUACCAGAUAAUUAGAAUGUUAUUCUUAGGAUCAAUGUUUCAAACAUUAUAGUUGAUUGCACGGUCAAGAAAUGGGCUACUACUAGAUAGUUUCACCUCUUGUAAUCUUUGGACCAUGUUAUUUGUAAUGAAAAAUGCUUGAUUUAAUAUAUGAGAUCUUUAUG